This 786-nucleotide ribosomal RNA is filed under the name uncultured archaeon. RNAcentral's name for it is "bacterial SSU rRNA". It matches the Rfam family "Archaeal small subunit ribosomal RNA", at positions 85 to 876 of the family's 1478-position model. The record is from RNAcentral.
ACGGCUCAGUAACACGUGGAUAACCUGCCCUAAGGUGGAGGAUAACCCCGGGAAACUGGGGAUAAUACUCCAUAGGUUCCGGAGGCUGGAAUGCCCUGGAGCCUAAAGCUCCGGCGCCUUAGGAUGGAUCUGCGGCCGAUUAGGUUGUUGUUGGGGUAACGGCCCAACAAGCCUGUAAUCGGUACGGGUUGUGAGAGCAAGAGCCCGGAGAUGGACUCUGAGACACGAGUCCAGGCCCUACGGGGCGCAGCAGGCGCGAAAACUUUACAAUGCAGGAAACUGUGAUAAGGGAACCCCGAGUGCCCGUAUACGCGGGCUGUUCAGGUGUUUAAAAAGCAUCUGGAGAAAGGGCCGGGCAAGACCGGUGCCAGCCGCCGCGGUAAUACCGGCGGCUCGAGUGGUGACCACUUUUAUUGGGCUUAAAGCGUCCGUAGCUGGAUUGUUAAGUCUCUUGGGAAAUCCGCCGGCUUAACCGGCGGGCGUCUAAGAGAUACUGGCAACCUAGGGACCGGAAGAGGUGAGAGGUACUCCGGGGGUAGAAGUGAAAUUCUGUAAUCCUCGGGGGACCACCUGUGGCGAAGGCGUCUCACCAGAACGGCUCCGACAGUGAGGGACGAAAGCUGGGGGAGCAAACCGGAUUAGAUACCCGGGUAGUCCCAGCCGUAAACGAUGCGCGUUAGGUGUGCCGGUGACCACGAGUUACCGGGGUGCCGAAGGGAAACCGUGAAACGUGCCGCCUGGGAAGUACGGUCGCAAGGCUGAAACUUAAAGGAAUUGGCGGGGGAG